RNAcentral lists this long non-coding RNA (1373 nucleotides) under Felis catus (domestic cat). Its description in RNAcentral is "lncRNA (ENSFCAG00000053720.1)". Lineage: Eukaryota; Metazoa; Chordata; Mammalia; Carnivora; Felidae. The record is from RNAcentral.
AGCUCAACCACUACUGCACUAAAAUGAAUUCCUCCACUCUGUAACAGGGUAUCCACUUUAUAAUAGUUUGGAUGCCUUAUUUCUCUCUCCCAGACUGACUUUUUCAAAUUAAGCCUUAGGUCUUCAUAAAAAUACAAAGCAAUGGAGAGGGUAUUUUCUAAAGAUGACAAAGCUUGAUUAAAGACAUAAUAGCAAGAAUACUUGUGUCCACACUGUAUGAUUCCGAGCCUGCUCGCAUUGAAGGAUGCAUUUUGGUAGUCACGAAAACCAGACUUGCCUCAACUAACAGUUACUCAAUUCAUGCAGAGUCUUAGAGUUGAGGAAUCAAAGGGAGGCACUGUAAAUUUCGUGCACUUGAUAGCCACAGACAGUCAUGGUUACAGGAUGGCUGGGAAUGGGUAAAAUUUGUAAACAGAGAGAACAGCUAGGACUAUAUGAAUAAAACCUAUGUCUGAGAUGAUACAAAUUUAGAUUCUAAGUUGGUGGUAGGGACAGCCAGUAGGCAUAGGAAGGAGGAUAAAAGACAUUUUAAAGGAAUAACAGACAUUGCUAACUGGUCAGGAAAAAAUAAAAAUUCCAAGUCCAUUUCAGGGAGUCGGUAAGCCCAUCUAUCUUCCCCUUAGAUGAUUUUCACUGAGAGGAGGCUCAUCUCAGAGUUGCUGUCUUCCAAUUUUACUGUCCUAGAACAGAGGCUCAAGUCCAGCUGGGUUCAGAUCGGGAGUCUGGGUGUCUGGGGGCAGCUGCUAGACAAUUACCUCUAUGCCAGAUACUUGCCAAGGAUCCUGAGCAAAGAUUCUGCCUGACUGUAAGAAAAAGCAUGUUCUCAAUAGAGCAAAAGAAACCCAAUGCUGCCAGCUGCAACUGUCUGAAGAUAAAGAGCUCCAGAUACAAGCCUCACAAAGAAUUUUCUUCAAGGGAAGCUUAAAAUACACACCAUCACAUGAGAGUCACAUGACAUCAGCCAAGACUAAGGCCUUUGGAGACUUCUGGAGAAAGCACUCAAUGGAGUGAUACCAGAGGGGCUGUUCCUGUCAGCCAUGAUUUACGGAUUCUGCAAAAUCAUCUCCCUUCCCUUCUUGUCAUGAAUUAGCUGUGCUCAGCUGGCUGAACUUCUUUUUAUUAGUUUAUUUUUGUUUAUAGAAACAAUACAUGAUGGGGCCCCUGGGUGGCUCAGAUGAUUAAGUGUCUGACUUCGGUUCAGGUCAUGAUAUCACCAUUUGUUAGUUUGAGUCCUGCAUCAAGCUCUUUGCUGAUAGCUCAGAGCCUGGAGCCUACUUCCGAUUCUGGGUCUUCCUCGCUCUCUGCCCCUCCCCCACUCACACUCUGUCAAUCUCUCUCUCAAAAAUAAAAUAAAAAAACAUUAAAAAAAUACA